UCAAUUUUUUUAAUAAUUAAACUUAUUUGCCAUUAUAUGUUUUUAUUUAUUUACUCGCACAAUGCAUAGUAAAACAUUGUAUGAUACACGUGCGUAAAGAUGAUUUCCGCACUUGUUGCAUAAAUAGCUAUUAUUGUUUUGCAAUUUUGUAAGUACAACAGAUAGAUAAGAAAUAUCGUCAAAGCAAUUUCUUUCGUUAUUAGUUUUGAACAUUUUGCAACGAAAGUAGUGAAAAUCAGCCCGAUUGAAUACUUAUUUCUCGUAUUUCAUGUGCGUAAAUUUCACUCUCGAAUAGGUCCUUGGAGCAUAUUGUUUAGAAUAGAACGCCGUUACACUCUGUAUCCAAAGAUAAAAUAUGGUUACCUACUUGAAUUCUCUGCUUAGAUAAUAUUAAGGCCUAGAUUAUAAAAGAAGGGUGAUAUUGACAGUGGAUUGUUAAACAUUUUAAGAAAUGAGUUGAGGUAGGGAGAACUAGGCAUAAACUAUUUCCCAAUUCCCAGUGUUGAACUAAAUGUCAAUGUGGAGAAGAGCCGGCAUAUAAAAUGAACUCUUGUACAGAUGUAGUGCAUACUCCUUUACCAUCGUAAUUUCUCGGAAACGUUCGUAUUUGUCAUGCUACUUUUGACUGCAACCUCAGUACUUUUUGUACUGAGACUGACUGAAAUAGCACAACACGUUCAAAUGUCGAAAAUACGAUGGCAAGGGAUUAUGCACUAUAACUGUAUUUACGCACUUCGCUCAAACAUACUUGUAGUCAGAAAGGAAGAGCUUCCGUUCUUCUGUAGUGAGUAUGUGUACACAUGCAGGAGUUAGAAGCGGCGAAAGAGCUUGUGGACGGUCUUACUUGAUAGACGGUCUUCUCCACAUUGACCUUGGUUACGAAAAUGAACUAAGGUACUUUUAGUGACACUAGCUUUUGUAUCAUCUGAAAUUUAUCACAUUAUCACAUUAUAUUAUUAUAUUAACUUAUCUUCGUAGCAAUUUACCUUAAAGUCGAAUUUAAAGGAGAUUUACAGAAUGCAUGCGUUAACGCCGUUUACUGUUGUGAAAGGAUACAGGAAUCUUAUAUACCACCAAGGUGGCGUUCAACCCUUUGAACGUCACGCCAUAUCCUGUGCGGCGCGUCAUUAUGAACCUUAUCGGAAUGCAGGAAGGUUAACAUUGGGCUGUAGCCGCACGCGUCAGUUGACGUUUUUGGCGAUCAAAGGGUUAAGCAACUUCACGGUUUGCCUUUUUUCCAAACAAGUAUAAUUUGUCCUCUGUUUCUAACAAAUAUUGUUUUUGUAUUGGAUAGGCUGAUACUCGAAUUCAUUAUAAGAUCCAAUUUACUUAAUGUCAUAACUAAUCCUAUAAUCAAGUGCCGGUGGCGAUAGUCGGGUUCUCUGUUCGUAGUCGCUGUUUUUUAUACACGGGAUUUUGCAUGUUAUCGACUACACUCGUAGCGCGUAGCACGCGCCGGCACUGAAUGUGUUUGUCAUAACUAAUCCUAUAAUCAAGUGCCGGUGGCGAUAGUCGGGUUCUCUGUUCGUAGUCGCUGUUUUUUAUACACGGGAUUUUGCAUGUUAUCGACUACACUCGUAGCGCGUAGCACGCGCCGGCACUGAAUGUGUUUGUCAUAACUAAUCCUAUAAUCAAACUAUGUACUGUAGCCUUAUUGGCAAUACAUUAUUGUAAAGGCAUUCCGUGAAAGAAUUUUAAAAUUAAUUUUAAGGAAACAUACAUAUAAAAAUAAUGCAAAUUGCAAUCGACGAACUAGACAUAUUUAAGUUUAAUAUUUUAUAAUCCACGAUAGCCAGUCCGUUGGUAUAUAAGAUUUUUAGAUGUGGGUCUAAAGAAUGUUAAUUGGGAAUGUGUCAAGCGCGAAGCGCACGUUAGAAAUGUAUACAACCGGUAAUAUAAGUGACCAUUGAGAUACUUAAGAAAAGGUGAUAAGCUCAUUGAAUUUUAUUUUGUCUUAUUGGUUUUUAUAAAUAAAAUUUUCGUUUUUUUAAA
Cydia strobilella is the source of this 1992-nucleotide long non-coding RNA. RefSeq lists it as uncharacterized. NCBI's taxonomy places the organism in Eukaryota, Metazoa, Arthropoda, Insecta, Lepidoptera, Tortricidae. The transcript has 2 exons. The record is from RefSeq and is a predicted model, not a curated record.